CCAAGCAUAUUAUCAUUGGUUUCCCUCCCCUUACUUAUAUUUCCCCCUCUGUUGGCAGUGAGGAGUGCUAAUUGAAAAUAUUGUUGUAUAAACAGAAAAUAUGGGAGAUCGAUAUAAUAUUCAUAGUCAGUUAGAACAUCUACAGUCCAAAUAUAUCGGAACUGGUCAUGCAGAUACGAACAAAUGGGAAUGGAUGACAAACCAACACAGAGACAGCAAUGCAUCUUACAUGGGACACAAUGACAUGUUGAACUAUUUUUCACUGGCAGAGAACGAAGCAAAAGCACGUGUACGAUUUAAUUUGAUGGAAAGAAUGUUGCAGCCUUGUGGGCCACCUCCUGAAAGACCAGAGGACUAAAAUACUAAUUCUAGUAACAAACAUUUAGUUACAAAAGGUUAAAAAGUGGAAAACGCAAUGAACGAUUUAUUUUACAUGUUUAUUGCAGAUAAAUUAUUAACCAAUAUCAACAGUAUGCAUUUAAAUGAAACGAAGGAAAUUUUCUGAAUUCUUCACAUUCACAUGUAACUUGGUUACAGGAACAUUAAUUUUGUAGAGCAGUUUAAUUUUAUAUCAUAUUUUCUAAAAUAAAUUUAUCCAAUGGCAAUGC
This 608-nucleotide long non-coding RNA is filed under the name Mytilus galloprovincialis (Mediterranean mussel). Lineage: Eukaryota; Metazoa; Mollusca; Bivalvia; Mytilida; Mytilidae. The record is from RNAcentral.